Molecule: non-coding RNA, 695 nt
Organism: Odocoileus virginianus texanus
Lineage: Eukaryota; Metazoa; Chordata; Mammalia; Artiodactyla; Cervidae
Source: RefSeq, a predicted model, not a curated record
AAAGCACCGAGGCUCCCAUGCUGCGACCAAUCAGGGCAUCUACUACUCCGGCCGUGAUUUAGGGGUCAUCCAUGAAUAACACUUCACGCUGAUGAAUGGCUCUGGCCGGCUCUGAGGCUCCGACGAGGGGUCUGCCGGCCGCUGAUUGCAAACACUAACGAACUUCAACAGCGCCCACUGAAAUUCACACGCACCAGCAAACACCUCGGGGGUGGGCAUUUCAGGUCAGCUGAGUCACCCGAGGAGGUGGGAGUGCAAGACACUGCCGGGAAGAUAGAUUUCGAGGCAGAAGGGUGUAAUUAAGGAUUUCCACCCCCCGGUAGGCGGCCCGUCCUUCACAGAGCCUCUGAAAAUGACCUGCGCCUUCCCUUCCAGAGUGUCCUCCCGUCCGAGGCUGAGAAGUGUAAAUGACCUUCGGGCAGGGAGAGUCUGAGUCUCUAAAUACUCAGGUUUCAUCAGCAGCCCCGACGCGGCUCUGCCGGAGAACAAGUGUCCACCCUGGGGUUUCAGCUCCAGGACUUGCUGCAAACGCGCCCCGGUCCGGGCACGGAUUCUGGAGUCCUCCAGAGGCUGCACACUCCGCAAUCAUUCUCUCUCUCUCUCUCCCUGUUCUCCCCUCAAAUUAGCAACCGAAGGCCACCCCUGCCUUAACAAUGCUUGCUCUGGGAAGAAAUAAAAAAGUUUACUGCGGUGCA